This 1033-nucleotide non-coding RNA is filed under the name Trichomonas vaginalis G3. Its description in RNAcentral is "Eukaryotic small subunit ribosomal RNA". It matches the Rfam family "Eukaryotic small subunit ribosomal RNA", at positions 131 to 1359 of the family's 1831-position model. The record is from Rfam by way of RNAcentral. Lineage: Eukaryota; Parabasalia; Trichomonadida; Trichomonadidae.
GUUUUAAAAUGAUAGCAGCAGCAACUCUGGUGGUAAUACAUGCGAUGUUUCUCCAGAUGUGAAUUAUGGAGGAAAAGUUGACCUCAUCAGAGGCACGCCAUUCGACUGAGUGACCUAUCAGCUUGUACUUAGGGUCUUUACCUAGGUAGGCUAUCACGGGUAACGGGCGGUUACCGUCGGACUGCCGGAGAAGGCGCCUGAGAGAUAGCGACUAUAUCCACGGGUAGCAGCAGGCGCGAAACUUUCCCACUCGAGACUUUCGGAGGAGGUAAUGACCAGUUCCAUUGGUGCCUUUUGGUACUGUGGAUAGGGGUACGGUUUUCCACCGUACCGAAACCUAGCAGAGGGCCAGUCUGGUGCCAGCAGCUGCGGUAAUUCCAGCUCUGCGAGUUUGCUCCCAUAUUGUUGCAGUUAAAACGCCCGUAGUCUGAAUUGGCCAGCAAUGGUCGUACGUAUUUUUACGUUCACUGUGAACAAAUCAGGACGCUUAGAGUAUGGCCACAUGAAUGACUCAGCGCAGUAUGAAGUCUUUGUUUUCUUCCGAAAACAAGCUCAAUGAGAGCCAUCGGGGGUAGAUCUAUCUCAUGACGAGUGGUGGAAUACUUUGACUCAUGAGAGAGAAGCUGAGGCGAAGGCGUCUACCUAGAGGGUUUCUGUCGAUCAAGGGCGAGAGUAGGAGUAUCCAACAGGAUUAGAGACCCUGGUAGUUCCUACCUUAAACGAUGCCGACAGGAGUUUGUCAUUUGUUAAUGGCAGAAUCUUUGGAGAAAUCAUAGUUCUUGGGCUCUGGGGGAACUACGACCGCAAGGCUGAAACUUGAAGGAAUUGACGGAAGGGCACACCAGGGGUGGAGCCUGUGGCUUAAUUUGAAUCAACACGGGGAAACUUACCAGGACCAGAUGUUUUUUAUGACUGACAGGCUUCGGGUCUUUCAGGAUAUUGUUUUUGGUGGUGCAUGGCCGUUGGUGGUGCGUGGGUUGACCUGUCUAGCGUUGAUUCAGCUAACGAGCGAGAUUAUCGCCAAUUAUUUACU